This 1028-nucleotide long non-coding RNA is filed under the name Homo sapiens (human). RNAcentral's name for it is "HSALNT0170661". Lineage: Eukaryota; Metazoa; Chordata; Mammalia; Primates; Hominidae. The record is from RNAcentral.
CUGGAGGGCAGCGAACCAUCCUGCCCAGAACCUUAUCCUCACAGUCCAUUUUGACGCAGGACCUACAGAUCACAGGGCAACAGGGGCUGUGAGGGAGUUGUCUGGAUUUCCCAAGGUGGAGGAGGCGAAAGAGGAGAUGGAUCCCAAGCUCCUGCACCAGCACCAGCGAGAGACAAAGGCCCCGCCAAACGCCGGAAGCCACGCCCUCCUCUCUUCUCAAACUGUGCGCCCGAUUGGGUGGUUCCCACACCAGCGCCACUGAUUGAAUAAAACGCCAGGACCCACCCAUCCGCACCCCACCCCGGCCCCUGCCCCACUCACCCUGAGCGUUAGUGUAUUUUUGUUUGUUUCUUUGUUUUACUUUAAGUUUUGGGAUACAUGUGCAGAACGUGCAGGUUUGUUACAGAGGUUUACAUGUGCCAUGGUGGUUUUCUGCACCUGUCAACCUGCCGUUUAGGUUUUAAGCCCCACAUGCAUUAGAUAUUUGUCCUAAUGCUCUCCCUCCCCUUGACCCCAACCCCCUAACAGGCCCCAGCAUGUGAUGUUUCCUUCCGGUGUACAUCUGUUCUCAUUGUUCAACUCCCACAUAUGAGUGAGAACAUAUGGUGUUUGGUUUCCUGUUCCCUGUGUUAGUUUGCUGAGGAUAAUGGUUUCCAGCUUCACUCACGUCCCUGCAAAGGACAUGAACUUAUUCUUUUUUAUGGCUGCAUAGUAUUCCAUGGUGUAUAUGUGCCACAUUUUCUUUUUCCAGUCUAUCAUUGAUGGGCAUUUGGGUUGGUUCCAAGUCUUUGCUAUUGUAAACAGUGCUGCAAUAAACGUAAAUGUGCAUGUGUCUUUAUAGUAGAAUGAUUUAUAUUCCUUUGGAUAUAUACCCAGUAAUGGGAUUGCUGGGUCAAAUGGUAUUUCUGCUUGUAGAUCCUUGAGGAAUCACCACACUGUCUUCCACAAUGGUUGAACUAAUUUACACUCCCUCCAGCAGUGUAAAAACGUUUCUGUUUCUCCACAGCCUCACCAGCAUCUGUUGUUUC